CGCGAAAACUCCGCAAUGGGGGAAACCGUGACGGGGCCACCCCGAGUGCCGCCCGAAGAGGGCGGCGUUUGCCCGGUGCACAAAGCGGGGCGAACAAGCGGGGGGCAAGUCUGGUGUCAGCCGCCGCGGGAAUACCAGCCCCGCGAGGGGUCGGGGGGCUUACGGGGCCUAAAGGGCCCGUAGCCGGCCCGGGAAGUCGCGCCUGAAGUCCACGGGCGCAACCCGGGGGCGGGGGGCGGAACUGCGGG
This 248-nucleotide ribosomal RNA is filed under the name uncultured archaeon. Its description in RNAcentral is "partial 16S ribosomal RNA". It matches the Rfam family "Archaeal small subunit ribosomal RNA", at positions 340 to 590 of the family's 1478-position model. The record is from RNAcentral.